RNAcentral lists this ribosomal RNA (601 nucleotides) under uncultured bacterium. Its description in RNAcentral is "bacterial SSU rRNA". It matches the Rfam family "Bacterial small subunit ribosomal RNA", at positions 126 to 721 of the family's 1533-position model. The record is from RNAcentral.
CUGCCUGGUAGUGGGGGAUAACGUCCGGAAACGGACGCUAAUACCGCAUACGUCCUACGGGAGAAAGCAGGGGACCUUCGGGCCUUGCGCUAUCAGAUGAGCCUAGGUCGGAUUAGCUAGUUGGUGGGGUAAUGGCUCACCAAGGCGACGAUCCGUAACUGGUCUGAGAGGAUGAUCAGUCACACUGGAACUGAGACACGGUCCAGACUCCUACGGGAGGCAGCAGUGGGGAAUAUUGGACAAUGGGCGAAAGCCUGAUCCAGCCAUGCCGCGUGUGUGAAGAAGGUCUUCGGAUUGUAAAGCACUUUAAGUUGGGAGGAAGGGCAGUAAAUUAAUACUUUGCUGUUUUGACGUUACCGACAGAAUAAGCACCGGCUAACUCUGUGCCAGCAGCCGCGGUAAUACAGAGGGUGCAAGCGUUAAUCGGAAUUACUGGGCGUAAAGCGCGCGUAGGUGGUUCGUUAAGUUGGAUGUGAAAUCCCCGGGCUCAACCUGGGAAACUGCAUUCAAAACUGACGAGCUAGAGUAUGGUAGAGGGUGGUGGAAUUUCCUGUGUAGCGGUGAAAAUGCGUAAAUAUAGGAAGGAACACAGUGGCGAAGG